UGAAUAGCCUCUGGACUAGCAUAAGUUCGGGGGAAUUUCCAGUGAUCAGCGCCAACAAGACACAAUCUUGCACUGUCUGAAUAUGGUUCAAUGUUUGCUUCCGCCACCAGAUAACAAAUGUGUGCAGCAACAAUCUGAAUCACAAUAGGUUCAAUGUUUGCUUCUGCCACCAGAUAACAAAUGUGUGCAGCAACAAUCUGAAUCACAAUAUUAAAGUGUGAAGCAUACAGACACAGCAUAGGAGAUAUUCUAAAGAAUGAGAA
Molecule: long non-coding RNA, 263 nt
Filed under: Nicotiana benthamiana
Lineage: Eukaryota; Viridiplantae; Streptophyta; Magnoliopsida; Solanales; Solanaceae
Description: long non-coding RNA (NBEN_LNC017717)
Source: RNAcentral